UACGAAGGGGGCUAGCGUUGCUCGGAAUCACUGGGCGUAAAGGGCGCGUAGGCGGCCGAUCAAGUCAGGGGUGAAAGCCUGUGGCUCAACCACAGAAUGGCCUUUGAUACUGUUCGGCUCGAGACCGGAAGAGGUUGGUGGAACUGCGAGUGUAGAGGUGAAAUUCGUAGAUAUUCGCAAGAACACCGGUGGCGAAGGCGGCCAACUGGUCCGGUUCUGACGCUGAGGCGCGAAAGCGUGGGGAGCAAACAGG
This 253-nucleotide ribosomal RNA is filed under the name uncultured bacterium. RNAcentral describes it as "partial 16S ribosomal RNA". It matches the Rfam family "Bacterial small subunit ribosomal RNA", at positions 524 to 776 of the family's 1533-position model. The record is from RNAcentral.